GAUGAACGCUGGCGGCGUGCCUAAUACAUGCAAGUCGAGCGAACAGACGAGGAGCUUGCUCCUCUGACGUUAGCGGCGGACGGGUGAGUGACACGUGGAUAACCUACCUAUAAGACUGGGAUAACUUCGGGAAACCGGAGCUAAUACCGGAUAAUAUAUUGAACCGCAUGGUUCAAUAGUGAAGGACGGUUUUGCUGUCACUUAUAGAUGGAUCCGCGCCGCAUUAGCUAGUUGGUAAGGUAACGGCUUACCAAGGCGACGAUGCGUAGCCGACCUGAGAGGGUGAUCGGCCACACUGGAACUGAGACACGGUCCAGACUCCUACGGGAGGCAGCAGUAGGGAAUCUUCCGCAAUGGGCGAAAGCCUGACGGAGCAACGCCGCGUGAGUGAUGAAGGUCUUCGGAUCGUAAAACUCUGUUAUUAGGGAAGAACAAAUGUGUAAGUAACUAUGCACGUCUUGACGGUACCUAAUCAGAAAGCCACGGCUAACUACGUG
This 497-nucleotide ribosomal RNA is filed under the name uncultured bacterium. RNAcentral's name for it is "partial 16S ribosomal RNA". It matches the Rfam family "Bacterial small subunit ribosomal RNA", at positions 28 to 507 of the family's 1533-position model. The record is from RNAcentral.